Molecule: ribosomal RNA, 446 nt
Filed under: uncultured bacterium
Lineage: Bacteria
Description: bacterial SSU rRNA
Rfam family: Bacterial small subunit ribosomal RNA
Source: RNAcentral
GCCAGACUCCUACGGGAGGCAGCAGUGGGGAAUAUUGCACAAUGGGGGAAACCCUGAUGCAGCGACGCCGCGUGAGUGAAGAAGUAUUUCGGUAUGUAAAGCUCUAUCAGCAGGGAAGAAGAAGGACGGUACCUGAGUAAGAAGCCCCGGCUAACUACGUGCCAGCAGCCGCGGUAAUACGUAGGGGGCAAGCGUUAUCCGGAUUUACUGGGUGUAAAGGGAGCGUAGACGGCAUGGCAAGUCAGAUGUGAAAGCCCGGGGCUCAACCCCGGGACUGCAUUUGAAACUGUCAGGCUGGAGUGCAGGAGAGGUAAGUGGAAUUCCUAGUGUAGCGGUGAAAUGCGUAGAUAUUAGGAGGAACACCAGUGGCGAAGGCGGCUUACUGGACUGUAACUGACGUUGAGGCCCGAAAGCGUGGGGAGCAAACAGGAUUAGAUACCCUCGUA